AGUGAACGCUGGCGGUAGGCCUAACACAUGCAAGUCGAACGGCAGCACAGUAAGAGCUUGCUCUUACGGGUGGCGAGUGGCGGACGGGUGAGGAAUACAUCGGAAUCUACUUUUUCGUGGGGGAUAACGUAGGGAAACUUACGCUAAUACCGCAUACGACCUACGGGUGAAAGCUGGGGAUCUUCGGACCUUGCGCGAUUGAAUGAGCCGAUGUCGGAUUAGCUAGUUGGCGGGGUAAAGGCCCACCAAGGCGACGAUCCGUAGCUGGUCUGAAAGGAUGAUCAGCCACACUGGAACUGAGACACGGUCCAGACUCCUACGGGAGGCAGCAGUGGGGAAUAUUGGACAAUGGGCGCAAGCCUGAUCCAGCCAUACCGCGUGGGUGAAGAAGGCCUUCGGGUUGUAAAGCCCUUUUGUUGGGAAAGAAAAGCAGCAGGUUAAUACCCCGCUGUUCUGACGGUACCCAAAGAAUAAGCACCGGCUAACUUCGUG
This 492-nucleotide ribosomal RNA is filed under the name uncultured bacterium. RNAcentral describes it as "partial 16S ribosomal RNA". It matches the Rfam family "Bacterial small subunit ribosomal RNA", at positions 29 to 507 of the family's 1533-position model. The record is from RNAcentral.